This 557-nucleotide ribosomal RNA is filed under the name uncultured bacterium. RNAcentral describes it as "partial 16S ribosomal RNA". It matches the Rfam family "Bacterial small subunit ribosomal RNA", at positions 355 to 937 of the family's 1533-position model. The record is from RNAcentral.
UGGGGAAUCUUGCGCAAUGGGCGAAAGCCUGACGCAGCCAUGCCGCGUGAGUGAUGAAGGCCUUAGGGUUGUAAAACUCUUUCACCGGGGACGAUAAUGACGGUACCCGGAGAAGAAGCCCCGGCUAACUUCGUGCCAGCAGCCGCGGUAAUACGAAGGGGGCUAGCGUUGCUCGGAAUUACUGGGCGUAAAGGGCGCGUAGGCGGAUCAGCAAGUUGGGGGUGAAAGCCCGGGGCUCAACCUCGGAAUUGCCUUCAAAACUGCUGAUCUAGAGUACGGGAGAGGUGUGUGGAACUCCGAGUGUAGAGGUGAAAUUCGUAGAUAUUCGGAAGAACACCAGUGGCGAAGGCGACACACUGGCCCGUUACUGACGCUGAGGCGCGAAAGCGUGGGGAGCAAACAGGAUUAGAUACCCUGGUAGUCCACGCUGUAAACGAUGAUUGCUAGUUGUCGGCAGGCAUGCCUGUCGGUGACGCAGCUAACGCAUUAAGCAAUCCGCCUGGGGAGUACGUCGCAAGAUAAAACUCAAAUGAAUUGACGGGGUCAUAGCUGUUUCC